UCAAAGGUAAAAAUACUAAGGCGACAAGCAAUAACACAUAUGACAAGUUUGGGGGAAGCAUAUAAAUAAACGAAAGGCUCAAACAGAUCUCCUUUAGGCAAAGGAAAGCAAGUACUUAGCAUGAAUUUCAUGUACUUCUUAGAGUAUGAUUAAAACUUAAAGAUUUGAGACAGACUGAUCUAUUACAUAAUUCAGAUAGGAAGCCUGAC
Molecule: long non-coding RNA, 209 nt
Filed under: Nicotiana benthamiana
Lineage: Eukaryota; Viridiplantae; Streptophyta; Magnoliopsida; Solanales; Solanaceae
Description: long non-coding RNA (NBEN_LNC011046)
Source: RNAcentral